AUGGCCUCCGCCGCCGCCGCCGCCGCCGCCGCCCGUGCGAACAGCCUCUCCCGCAUUUUCAAGCGCAAUCCCAAGACCAAGCGCGCGCCGGCGCCGGCGCCGACGCCGACGCCGAAACCGCCCGCCGCCGAUGCUGACCCCAUCACGGGCCAGAAGCUCCCGAAGCCCCUCGGCGCACAGCCCGCCCGCAACCCUGAUAAGCUGGUCUCCGAGUUCGUCCAAGCGUCAACCGUGUCGUCGCGCUUCCGCGAGCGGCACCGCGUGUACGAGGUAGCGGUGAGCCGCCUCACUUCCUUUGGCCGCCAAGAUGGCAUCGAGGCCAUCAUCGAAGCGCAGAAGCCCUUCCUCGAGACCUCAAACGAGGGAUUCGCCACGCGCCUCAUUCGCCUCUACGGCCGUGCCUCCAUGCCAUCCCACGCUGCCGCAACCUUCCAUGAACUUCCCGCGCAGCAUAAAUCCACCAUGACAUUCAACGCCCUUCUUGCAGCGUACGCCGAAGCUGGGGAUUUGGACGGGCUCACUACUGCAUUCCGGGAGAUCCCAGCCACCCACCCCUCGAUUGUUCCCAGCGUAUACUCUUACAACAUACUCAUCCGCGCAUUGUGCCAGAAGUCUGACCUCUCAGCUGCUCUUGAGGUUGUCCUUCUCAUGGAGAAGCACGGUAUUUCACCUGACAUUAUUACUUUCAACACGCUGUUGAAUGGGUUUUGCAACAAUGGCCCCACGGAUGAAGCAGAGACAGUAUGGGAGAUGAUGAAGGAGAGGAAUUUGGAGCCAAAUGCAAAGUGCUACAAUGCCAAGCUGCGGGGUUUGGUUGCAGAAGGGAGGAUUGAUGAUGCAGCAGCUGUGCUUGAGAGGUUGGAGAAGGACGGGCCAAAACCCGAUACAGUAUCCUACAAUGAGUUGAUUCGAGGAUAUUUGAAAGCAGGGAGGUUACAGGAGGCCAAGAAGCUGUAUGAUGAUUUGGUAAAAAAUCACUGUGCCGCAAAUAAGGGAACAUAUGAGACUCUUGUGCCACAUCUUCUGCAGGUUGGAGACCUGGAUACUGAGGAUGUAGUGAAUGCAUUGGUAGAUGCAUUGAGGGUGGAGGAGGCUGCCAAGCUUGUUGAUAUCGGGCGGAAGAAGUACUACUACUCACGAAAGGGCUUGAGGAUGCGAGGUAGUGCGAAAGUCAGUGAAUUAAGAGCUGAAACUGAUGAGCAAGAAGCAAUAUCAGAAGAAAAGGAGUGUGAAGUGGAACACGAGACUGAAAAGUAA
RNAcentral lists this ribosomal RNA (1257 nucleotides) under Triticum aestivum (bread wheat). RNAcentral describes it as "partial small subunit ribosomal RNA". The record is from RNAcentral. Lineage: Eukaryota; Viridiplantae; Streptophyta; Magnoliopsida; Poales; Poaceae.